GUCCUACGGGACGCAGCAGUGGGGGAUAUUGCACAAUGGGGGAAACCCUGAUGCAGCGACGCCGCGUGAGUGAAGAAGUAUUUCGGUAUGUAAAGCUCUAUCGGCAGGGAAGAAAAAAAUGACAGUACCUGACUAAGAAGCCCCGGCUAACUACGUGCCAGCAGCCGCGGUAAUACGUAGGGGGCAAGCGUUAUCCGGAUUUACUGGGGGUAAAGGGAGCGGAGACGGCUGUGCAAGUCUGAAGUAAAAGCCCGUGGCUCAACCCCGGAACUGCUUUGGAAACUGU
This 286-nucleotide ribosomal RNA is filed under the name uncultured bacterium. RNAcentral's name for it is "partial 16S ribosomal RNA". It matches the Rfam family "Bacterial small subunit ribosomal RNA", at positions 335 to 636 of the family's 1533-position model. The record is from RNAcentral.